Molecule: ribosomal RNA, 497 nt
Filed under: uncultured bacterium
Lineage: Bacteria
Description: partial 16S ribosomal RNA
Rfam family: Bacterial small subunit ribosomal RNA
Source: RNAcentral
GACGAACGCUGGCGGCGUGCCUAAUACAUGCAAGUAGAACGCUGAAGAGAGGAGCUUGCUCUUCUUGGAUGAGUUGCGAACGGGUGAGUAACGCGUAGGUAACCUGCCUUGUAGCGGGGGAUAACUAUUGGAAACGAUAGCUAAUACCGCAUAACAAUAGGUGACACAUGUCAUUUAUUUGAAAGGGGCAAUUGCUCCACUACAAGAUGGACCUGCGUUGUAUUAGCUAGUAGGUGAGGUAACGGCUCACCUAGGCGACGAUACAUAGCCGACCUGAGAGGGUGAUCGGCAAAAAUGGGAAUGGGACACGGCCCAGACUCCUACGGGAGGCAGCAGUAGGGAAUCUUCGGCAAUGGGGGGAACCCUGACCGAGCAACGCCGCGUGAGUGAAGAAGGUUUUCGGAUCGUAAAGCUCUGUUGUAAGUCAAGAACGAGUGUGAGAGUGGAAAGUUCACACUGUGACGGUAGCUUACCAGAAAGGGACGGCUAACUACGUG